CGCCCGGCUCGUCCCAGACUGGGGACUCCGCUCUUUGUUUCCAUAACUUCGGGCACCUCUGGGCGGCCGAGCGCACCCGGCGGCUCGGGCUCAGGCGGGGCGGCCGUGAGUCGGCACGAUCUCGCAUCGCCCCGCGUCCAGCCCGGGGCAUCUGUCCUUCAACGACUCAGCGCGUCCCCGCCCGCACCCCCAGAACCGCACAGCGUCCCCAGCGACGGCCACACGGAAUCCUACACGUGUGUGAGAAGGUGCUGUCUGCUCCAUGUGUGUGGCCGUGGUGGGGCCCUGGAGGGAACCCCAUUGGCAGAGGGACAGAGAAACCCCAUUGCAGAUCCAUGCUUCCCUGGGGUGUCAGGGAGGGCACUGGAGGACGCCCAGGAAACCGGACAAAACCCAGAGGCCAAGCUGGGAUUUUGUCCCAGCUGUUUCUGCGUUUGGGAGGCUCCUGACCCAAAUCUGCCUCAAGGGAAGCCCGAGGGGGUGGGGAUGGGGCCCUCAGGUUCAGGCUGGCAGCUCCCCCCAUUCUCUGAGCCAGGCCAGCCGGGCGUCUGUCCCACGUGAGACCCUCUGGACAGUCCUGGGGGCCAGGUGAGUUCGUGGGGCCGCAUCCUGCUUGGUCCUGGUGGGGGUCCUGCCCCCUCCCCACAGCUGCUCCCGGAAGCUUGCACCACCUUUGGCAUCUUCCUGGCUGCCCCCCUCCCCAGCCUCCUGCAAAUCCUGAAUCAGGGGGGCUUGGAAUUGGGAAACAGGCAGUGGGAACGACCCUCCCUACCCUCUCCCUCUCCGACUUCUUAACUCUGUAACUUCACUUUUGUUCUCCACCUGGGGGUGGGGGCGAGGAGAAGAGGCAGCUAGCUCCCUUUGCGGAAGCUCAGGGUGGGGGAGGGCCGGCUCAGAGGGUGGGCAGGAGACCUGGAGGAAUCUG
Myotis daubentonii (Daubenton's bat) is the source of this 925-nucleotide long non-coding RNA. RefSeq lists it as uncharacterized. The record is from RefSeq and is a predicted model, not a curated record. NCBI's taxonomy places the organism in Eukaryota, Metazoa, Chordata, Mammalia, Chiroptera, Vespertilionidae.